GUGGGAGAGCAGCAGUCAGAAUUUGCAGGCUGGGCUUUCCCGUUCCCAGGAGUAGUUCUGCUGGAAGACUUUGUAAGUGCAGAGGAGGAACAUAGGAUGGUUGAGCUGAUGGAUCAGGACGCUUGGAAACCUUCGCAAUCUGGCCGAAGAAAGCAGGACUAUGGCCCCAAAGUGAACUUCAAGAAGCGCAAGCUAAAAGCUGGUGGUUUCUCUGGUUUGCCUAGCUUCAGCCAAGAGAUAGUGGCACGCAUGAGACUCUACUCUGUGCUCAGGGACUUCUCCCCUGUUGAGCAGUGCAAUUUGGACUAUGGCCCCGAGAGAGGAUCUGCCAUUGACCCACACUGGGAUGACUGGUGGCUUUGGGGAGAACACUUGGUCAGCUUAAACUUGCUCUCAGCAACUGUGCUUUCCAUGUCUUGCGACUCAGAGGACAGUCUCCAGUUAUUCCCUGCCUGCCUUCAACAAAGCAAGCAGAUGCACUGCUCUGAAUCCCUUGAUCAUUCUCCAGAUCAUCAACCCCAUAAAGGACUGAAAAGAAACACCACCAAGCAGGAAAUGGAUGGUUCUUUUCCCACAAGAACAGUUCCAUCCCAAAAGGUCACUGUAGCAGUUCACUUACCUCAGAGAUCUCUGGUGGUUCUGUACGGACCUGCUCGGUAUAAGUGGAAGCAUGCCAUUUAUCGCAACCAUAUUAAAAGCCGCCGCAUCUGUGUCACCUUCAGAGAAUUAUCUACAGAGUUCAGUCCUGGAGGAGAACAGGAAGAACUGGGCAAAAAACUCCUGGAAACAGCUCUGACAUUCCAGGGAACACCGGUAUAAGGAUUACUUAUUUCACCAGGAGACAAUUAUCUGAUGCUCUAGAUCCCCAGAGAGCAGGAAGCAGCUGUACUUACCUAGUCACUACAGCAGCAAGAUUGCAAGGAGUCCACCUCAAAGAAAUGAAGAAAUCAUCUGUCCUAUUGCAUGGGUGCAUCUCCAUACCUGCCACAGGCUGUAACCUGCUGCGAGAUAAUUGAACCGCCUCAUUUCAUCAGCUUCUGAGGGAGGAAAGGAACUGAUUGCAAUUUCUGCUGAAUGAGGUAAAAUGGCCACUUAAGAUCAACUGUUUUCAUUAUCUCCAGUGCAACGCCAUCUUAGUCACCUCAAACAUCAGCCCUGCCCAUCCCAACGUUUCAUUGC
Non-coding RNA from Pogona vitticeps (central bearded dragon), 1179 nucleotides. The record is from RefSeq and is a predicted model, not a curated record. NCBI's taxonomy places the organism in Eukaryota, Metazoa, Chordata, Lepidosauria, Squamata, Agamidae.